UGAAUUGGGCUAAUUUCCUUUGGAGUUGGAGGGUCUGCAGAUGCCUUGCAGUCACUAAUGAUUUAAUCCAAGACACAUGGAUUUAUUCCAAGGCAGAGACAUCCUGUAACACAUACUUUACAGGAGGGGAUAUGGGAAAGCAAAGAACAAACUUCUCCAAAGACGGUUUUGAUGCACACGUUGAGGUAUUCAGAGCUUGAUAUUUGGAGAUACUGAGUACCACUGACUGAUCUUUGUGCUGUAGAAUUUUGUAUUAGAAUAUUUGGGGCCAAGCUGUCUCCUGUUGGUUACCCAAAGCCAAAUGAUAAAUUCAGACGUGGUGGUUUCAGUGCUUUUCCCAAGCUCUUCUAAUGAGUCAUUAAGAAUGAAGAGAGGUUCUUAGCAGUCACAGUUCCCAGCUCUCAUGCCAGACCACACCACUUUCGAGUCAAAUAGACAUUUCUUAAUCUCUCUUUGCUAAUGGCCAUAGCUCUGAAGCAAGUUAUUCAAUAAUAAAACUGGAAAUGGCAGCCAGGAAAUGCUGACUGUCUCCACAUGCUUUAACAAUACUCCCCAUAGGGUAUUAUUAACCUUUUCAUAUCUGGUCCAUAUCUGUUUGUGAAUCUGGAGUUUUAGAAAUGGACAUUUUUCAUUAGUGCCUUCAGGAGUUACAUUCUUGGAUUUUUGCUCUGAAUGUCUGGGGUUUUUAUCUUUUUUUUUUUUCUUCCUCUUCUUUACCUCCCAAGUAGAAGUCAGGAGGUAAAUCCAAGAGAUUGCUCUGAGCAGAAAACAUUUCUCCUCAAGAGGUUGUGCCUAUAUAUGUAUGAUCCCUGGUGGGCUGCAGAAUACCUGUUUACUGAUCAUAGCUUGCUUCUACUCCUGGUACACUGAAUAGUAUGGUUACAGUACCUAAAAGGUCUAAGAUUAGUCAACAAGCAUCAGGGAGUGAUGGUGUCAGCUGUGUACCAAAGGGCAACACGAGAGUCUUGACUUACUUACAUGUCCUGCUUACCCGUAUCACGGAGAGCUGCCAAACAGAAGAAAAUACCUUCAAGCCUUUCUGGCUGUUGCUGCCCAGAAAAGAGCGCUGCAGGGCAGCAUUACAGAGACUUGACAGAGCUGCACAGACGAUGGUGGGCUGGAAGAUGCUGACAAGAAAGGCUGGAAGGAGCCAAGAGGGCAUGAGGCUUCAGCUGAAGGUUACGGGUGCUACAGAUGAACUCCUAGGAAGAGCAGUGUGCGAGGCCUGGAGGCAGAGACCCUACAGUGCAGCCGGGGUAGCAGUUACCCCCCUGGCCCAAGUGCCCGAAACCAGGCCAACUGCUCCAAGAAGCAUCCUGAGGAGAAGCGAAGCCUGGGGCUGCUCUCCUGGUGGCCAGCCCGUGAU
This 1366-nucleotide long non-coding RNA is filed under the name Apteryx owenii (little spotted kiwi). RNAcentral's name for it is "lncRNA (ENSAOWG00000007291.1)". The record is from RNAcentral. Lineage: Eukaryota; Metazoa; Chordata; Aves; Apterygiformes; Apterygidae.